AGUGAACGCUGGCGGUAGGCCUAACACAUGCAAGUCGAACGGCAGCACAGUAAGAGCUUGCUCUUACGGGUGGCGAGUGGCGGACGGGUGAGGAAUACAUCGGAAUCUACUUUUUCGUGGGGGAUAACGUAUGGAAACUUACGCUAAUACCGCAUACGACCUACGGGUGAAAGCAGGGGAUCUUCGUACCUUGCGCGAUUGAAUGAGCCGAUGUCGGAUUAGCUAGUUGGCGGGGUAAAGGCCCACCAAGGCGACGAUCCGUAGCUGGUCUGAGAGGAUGAUCAGCCACACUGGAACUGAGACACGGUCCAGACUCCUACGGGAGGCAGCAGUGGGGAAUAUUGGACAAAGGGCGCAAACCUGAUCCAGCCAUACCGCGUGGGUGAAGAAGGCCUUCGGGUUGUAAAGCCCUUUUGUUGGGAAAGAAAAGCAGCAGGUUAAUACCCCGCUGUUCUGACGGUACCCAAAGAAUAAGCACCGGCUAACUUCGUG
RNAcentral lists this ribosomal RNA (492 nucleotides) under uncultured bacterium. RNAcentral describes it as "partial 16S ribosomal RNA". It matches the Rfam family "Bacterial small subunit ribosomal RNA", at positions 29 to 507 of the family's 1533-position model. The record is from RNAcentral.